GAUGAAGAACGUAGCGAAAUGCGAUAAGUAAUGUGAAUUGCAGAAUUUAGUGAAUCAUCGAAUCUUUGAACGCACAUUGCGCCCGUCAGUAUUCUGGCGGGCAUGCCUGUUCGAGCGUCAUUACGCCCCUCAAGUCCCCUGUGGACUUGGUGUUGGGGAUCGGCGAGGCUGGUUUUCCAGCACAGCCGUCCCUUAAAUUAAUUGGCGGUCUCGCCGUGGCCCUCCUCUGCGCAGUAGUAAAACACUCGCAACAGGAGCCCGGCGCGGUCCACUGCCGUAAAACCCCCCAACUUUUUAUAGUUGACCUCGAAUCAGGUAGGACUACCCACUGAACUUAAGCAUAUCAAUAAGCGGAGGA
RNAcentral lists this unclassified non-coding RNA (358 nucleotides) under soil metagenome. Its description in RNAcentral is "partial contains 5.8S ribosomal RNA, internal transcribed spacer 2, and large subunit ribosomal RNA". The stretch from base 1 to 120 matches the Rfam family "5.8S ribosomal RNA", at positions 35 to 154 of the family's 154-position model. The record is from RNAcentral.